RNAcentral lists this long non-coding RNA (251 nucleotides) under Setaria viridis. RNAcentral's name for it is "long non-coding RNA (SVIR_LNC009412)". Lineage: Eukaryota; Viridiplantae; Streptophyta; Magnoliopsida; Poales; Poaceae. The record is from RNAcentral.
UCGUGAGCAAGAGGGCGAGGGGGAUCGUGUUAGGGGGAAGAAGAUGGACACGUCACUGGAUUGGGGAGUCGGGGCUCGUCGUCCUGUCGCUUCCCCGCCGGGGAUAGGGCACCGGCGGCUGCGGGUGAUGGCGCGCCACGGGGCAGGGAGCGCCCGGGGCGAACGUGCUAGGGUGCUUUGGCAUCGAGGGCGAUGCAGGGCAGGGAAACAGCCAACUUUGGGGGUAGUUUAUUCAAAAUUUUCAAGCUAGA